This 441-nucleotide ribosomal RNA is filed under the name uncultured Porphyromonadaceae bacterium. RNAcentral describes it as "bacterial SSU rRNA". It matches the Rfam family "Bacterial small subunit ribosomal RNA", at positions 355 to 794 of the family's 1533-position model. Lineage: Bacteria; Pseudomonadati; Bacteroidota; Bacteroidia; Bacteroidales; Porphyromonadaceae. The record is from RNAcentral.
UGAGGAAUAUUGGUCAAUGGGCGAGAGCCUGAACCAGCCAAGUAGCGUGCAGGACGACGGCCCUAUGGGUUGUAAACUGCUUUUAUACGGGGGUAAAGUCAUCCACGUGUGGAUGUUUGCAAGUACCCGAAGAAAAAGCAUCGGCUAACUCCGUGCCAGCAGCCGCGGUAAUACGGAGGAUGCGAGCGUUAUCCGGAUUUAUUGGGUUUAAAGGGUGCGCAGGCGGCGCGCCAAGUCAGCGGUCAAAGUUCCGGGCUCAACCCGGUGUCGCCGUUGAAACUGGUGUGCUCGAGCGCGUGCGAGGAAGGCGGAAUGCGUUGUGUAGCGGUGAAAUGCAUAGAUAUGACGCAGAACUCCGAUUGCGAAGGCAGCUUUCCAGCGCGCUACUGACGCUGAGGCACGAAAGCGUGGGGAUCGAACAGGAUUAGAUACCCUGGUAGU